GUUUGAUCCUGGCUCAGGACGAACGCUGGCGGCGUGCUUAACACAUGCAAGUCGAACGAUGAUGCCCAGCUUGCUGGGUGGAUUAGUGGCGAACGGGUGAGUAAUACGUGAGUAACCUGCCCUUGACUCUGGGAUAAGCCUGGGAAACCGGGUCUAAUACUGGAUACUACUUCCUGCCGCAUGGUGGGUGGUGGAAAGGGUUUUACUGGUUUUGGAUGGGCUCACGGCCUAUCAGCUUGUUGGUGGGGUAAUGGCUCACCAAGGCGACGACGGGUAGCCGGCCUGAGAGGGUGACCGGCCACACUGGGACUGAGACACGGCCCAGACUCCUACGGGAGGCAGCAG
Molecule: ribosomal RNA, 345 nt
Filed under: Prasinococcus capsulatus
Lineage: Eukaryota; Viridiplantae; Prasinodermophyta; Palmophyllophyceae; Prasinococcales; Prasinococcaceae
Description: partial Bacterial small subunit ribosomal RNA
Rfam family: Bacterial small subunit ribosomal RNA
Source: RNAcentral